This 422-nucleotide ribosomal RNA is filed under the name uncultured bacterium. RNAcentral describes it as "bacterial SSU rRNA". It matches the Rfam family "Bacterial small subunit ribosomal RNA", at positions 355 to 774 of the family's 1533-position model. The record is from RNAcentral.
UAAGGAAUAUUGGUCAAUGGACGCAAGUCUGAACUAGCCAUGCCGCGUGAAGGAUGAAGGUCCUCUGGAUUGUAAACUUCUUCUAUCUGGGACGAAAAAAGCUCAUUCUUGAGCACUUGACGGUACCAGAAGAAUAAGCACCGGCUAACUCCGUGCCAGCAGCCGCGGUAAUACGGAGGGUGCAAGCGUUAUCCGGAUUUACUGGGUCUAAAGGGUGCGUAGGUGGGUCUGUAAGUCAGUGGUGAAAUCUUCGAGCUUAACUCGGAAACUGCCAUUGAUACUAUAGGUCUUGAAUCAUCUGGAGGUGAGCGGAAUAUGUCAUGUAGCGGUGAAAUGCUUAGAUAGGACAUAGAACACCGAUUGGGAAGGCAGCUCACUACGGAUGUAUUGACACUGAGGCACGAAAGCGUGGGGAUCAAACA